UACGAAGGGGGCUAGCGUUGUUCGGAAUUACUGGGCGUAAAGCGCACGUAGGCGGAUAUUUAAGUCAGGGGUGAAAUCCCACAGCUCAACUGCGGAACUGCCUUUGAUACUGGGUAUCUUGAGUAUGGAAGAGGUAAGUGGAAUUCCGAGUGUAGAGGUGAAAUUCGUAGAUAUUCGGAGGAACACCAGUGGCGAAGGCGGCUUACUGGUCCAUUACGGACUCUGAGUUGCGAAAGCGUUGGGAGCAAACAGG
This 253-nucleotide ribosomal RNA is filed under the name uncultured bacterium. RNAcentral describes it as "partial 16S ribosomal RNA". It matches the Rfam family "Bacterial small subunit ribosomal RNA", at positions 524 to 776 of the family's 1533-position model. The record is from RNAcentral.